UUGAUCUCAAAUCAGGUAGGACUACCCGCUGAACUUAAGCAUAUCAAUAAGCGGAGGAAAAGAAACUAACAAGGAUUCCCCUAGUAACUGCGAGUGAAGCGGGAAGAGCUCAAAUUUAAAAUCUGGCAUGCCUCUGGCUGCCCGAGUUGUAGUCUGGAGAAGCGUUUUCUGUGUUGGACCGUGUAUAAGUCUCUUGGAACAGGGCGUCAUAGAGGGUGAGAAUCCCGUCUUUGACACGGACUACCAAUGCUUUGUGAUGCGCUCUCAAAGAGUCGAGUUGUUUGGGAAUGCAGCUCAAAAUGGGUGGUAAAUUCCAUCUAAAGCUAAAUACAGGCGAGAGACCGAUAGCGAACAAGUACCGUGAGGGAA
This 369-nucleotide ribosomal RNA is filed under the name uncultured Thelephoraceae. Its description in RNAcentral is "eukaryotic LSU rRNA". It matches the Rfam family "Eukaryotic large subunit ribosomal RNA", at positions 1 to 361 of the family's 3401-position model. Lineage: Eukaryota; Fungi; Basidiomycota; Agaricomycetes; Thelephorales; Thelephoraceae. The record is from RNAcentral.